Molecule: ribosomal RNA, 322 nt
Filed under: uncultured eukaryote
Lineage: Eukaryota
Description: partial 18S ribosomal RNA
Rfam family: Eukaryotic small subunit ribosomal RNA
Source: RNAcentral
CCCUUAGAUGUUCUGGGCCGCACGCGUGCUACACUGAGUAAUUCAAUGGGUAAGGGAACGCUAGAGCAUUACCUAAUCUUGAAAUUUGCUCGUGACGGGGAUCGACGGUUGCAAUUUUCCGUCGUGAACGAGGAAUACCUUGUAGGCGCAUGUCAUCAUCAUGCGCCGAAUACGUCCCUGCCCUUUGUACACACCGCCCGUCGCUCCUACCGAUUGAGUGAUCCGGUGAGGCUCUGGGACCUGGACGGAAAGAGCGUUUCGCUUGUUCUGUUUGGGAAACUUGGUCGAACCUUAUCAUUUAGAGGAAGGAGAAGUCGUAACA